Long non-coding RNA from Neoarius graeffei (lesser salmon catfish), 1886 nucleotides. RefSeq lists it as uncharacterized. The transcript is spliced from 2 exons. The record is from RefSeq and is a predicted model, not a curated record. Lineage: Eukaryota; Metazoa; Chordata; Actinopteri; Siluriformes; Ariidae.
GCAAAGGGGGCUACUGCGCCUUUAAACUCGUGAACGCGCUGGGCAGCGCGAGAGGGAGCGUUUACGAGCGGCGGGAGGAUUCAGUGACAGGAGAGGCAAGCUGAAGUUGUGUGUUCUGGGAGCAGUCCACGUGUGCGGAUCGAUAAACUCGUAUUGAGUGUCGAGUAAGUGUUCCUUUGUAAUUAAAAAGUGCAACGUUAGUACGUCUCGGUUGGGUAGUGGUGUGUUUGCCACCCUCCGUUUGUUUUGUUGUUGUAUAACACUGUAAUACGAACCGCUGGCAGUUGUAAAUGGGUGUAGCUAAUGCUAAUGAUACGGGAAGAUAAACACUGAAGGGGGUACGAAUAGAAAGGACAACAGAGACAUCAAGACGGAUGUGAAGUUGUGUAGAAACGUUCGUAUUAUCCGUUAGACGUGUUUAUCGCUCUCUAGAGCCGUUUUAUUUGCGUUGCCAGGACCGCUCUGGAAAAUUGUUUUUGAACUAUCCGUUACGCUAGCUGCCACUUCGCCGCCGUCCACCCGAACGUUCCGAAGCCAUUCAGUAGCCUGUGUCAGAAGACAGCUGACUGUUUACCCUGCCCUCCAUGUCCAGCAUCGCGACGGGACUUCUGGAAUCCCGUCGCCUGGUGAUGCUGGAUGGUAUGGCAGGGUUUCGCAGGGGGGAAUGUAGCGGGAGCAAAGGGGGCUACUGCGCCUUUAAACUCGUGAACGCGCUGGGCAGCGCGAGAGGGAGCGUUUACGAGCGGCGGGAGGAUUCAGUGACAGGAGAGGCAAGCUGAAGUUGUGUGUUCUGGGAGCAGUCCACGUGUGCGGAUCGAUAAACUCGUAUUGAGUGUCGAGUAAGUGUUCCUUUGUAAUUAAAAAGUGCAACGUUAGUACGUCUCGGUUGGGUAGUGGUGUGUUUGCCACCCUCCGUUUGUUUUGUUGUUGUAUAACACUGUAAUACGAACCGCUGGCAGUUGUAAAUGGGUGUAGCUAAUGCUAAUGAUACGGGAAGAUAAACACUGAAGGGGGUACGAAUAGAAAGGACAACAGAGACAUCAAGACGGAUGUGAAGUUGUGUAGAAACGUUCGUAUUAUCCGUUAGACGUGUUUAUCGCUCUCUAGAGCCGUUUUAUUUGCGUUGCCAGGACCGCUCUGGAAAAUUGUUUUUGAACUAUCCGUUACGCUAGCUGCCACUUCGCCGCCGUCCACCCGAACGUUCCGAAGCCAUUCAGUAGCCUGUGUCAGAAGACAGCUGACUGUUUACCCUGCCCUCCAUGUCCAGCAUCGCGACGGGACUUCUGGUUGGUCGUGGAUAAUUAAUGCACUACACUUCACUUGCAUCACAACCCACACACACAUACAUACAACACCGCUGAUAACACUCGCAGAGUCAACUGAACUGAACUGAACUGGACUUGUGUUGACCCGUGCCGCUAUACAUACACACACACAGUGGUGUCUGGAGAGACUUUGGGGAUUGUCCUCGCCACUGAGCCAGCCUCCAUUCCACACACACACACACACACACACACACACACACACACACACACACACACACACACAGACAUACAUACACACACACACACACACAGUGGUAUCUGGAGAGACUUUGGGGAUUGCCCUCGCCACUGAGCCAGCCUCCAUUUCACCCAUCCACUCACACACACAUGCUUUGCCGUGCUAUGCACAGCCUACGUCCAACUUAAAGGUGUUUUGUUUUUUUGAGGUUACAAGAAGCACCUUCUCUUAGUGUAGUUACAAAAGAUAUGUCUUUGUGUGUUUACAUGUGAAUGAGAUAUAUUACUGAUGUUACAGACUGAGUUGCGCUAUGUUUGCCAACCUCAGUGAAUGUUAAGACAUUUAAGGUAUUGGGUGUUAAAUACAUUUUCCCUACUGUGAAA